CCUACGGGAGGCAGCAGUGAGGAAUAUUGGUCAAUGGACGAGAGUCUGAACCAGCCAAGUAGCGUGAAGGAUGACUGCCCUCUGGGUUGUAAACUUCUUUUAUAUGGGAAUAAAAUGUUCCACGUGUGGGAUUUUGUAUGUACCAUAUGAAUAAGGAUCGGCUAACUCCGUGCCAGCAGCCGCGGUAAUACGGAGGAUCCGAGCGUUAUCCGGAUUUAUUGGGUUUAAAGGGAGCGUAGGUGGAUUGUUAAGUCAGGUGUGAAAGUUUGCGGCUCAACCGUAAAAUUGCAGUUGAAACUGGCAGGCUUGAGUGCAGUAGAGGUGAGUGGAAUUCGUGGUGUAGCGGUGAAAUGCUUAGAUAUCACGAAGAACUCCGAUUGCGAAGGCAGCUCACUGGACUGCAACUGACACUGAGGCUCGAAAGUGUGGGUAUCAAACAGGAUUAGAUACCCUGGUAGUC
Molecule: ribosomal RNA, 460 nt
Filed under: uncultured bacterium
Lineage: Bacteria
Description: partial 16S ribosomal RNA
Rfam family: Bacterial small subunit ribosomal RNA
Source: RNAcentral